Molecule: non-coding RNA, 9819 nt
Organism: Equus caballus (horse)
Lineage: Eukaryota; Metazoa; Chordata; Mammalia; Perissodactyla; Equidae
Source: RefSeq, a predicted model, not a curated record
AAUUCUAGAAAUUUAUAAGACAUUACCAAUAUUGAAUUAUGAAGCUGUAAAAACAUGUUGGAUAGUUAAUUAAGAAAGAUGCCAUUUUCUUUUUCUGGGAUUUGUUACAUUUGUGUAUUUGUCAGCUUUUUAACAUUAAUAAUUUGUUGGUUGUGAUUUCUCAUUCUAAAGAAAAAUUCACAUUUGCACCUAAUUUAUUUUUUGUAUCCUUUUUCUUAAUGAACCUCCCUCCCAACUGAAUAAACUUCAGGCCCUGUAAAAGCAGCUUCAACACACUACUCCAAUGCCUUGACAGGAUGUAAAACACCCAAAACUAAUUAGUAACCCUGGAGAAGGAGUUACUAAUUAGGAGUUACUUUUCCCCUGGAGAAGGGGAUCCUUGAAUCAGCUGAGAUUAACUCUCCACCAUAUGCCAGAUAUUGUCUAUUGGUACUCAAAACCUUUCCUAUUCUUGUAAGCCCUUCCCAGUAUUGCAGGAGCAGGAAGCCUAGCAACUACUUUUGCCAAACUUCUGUUUUAACAGCCUUGUUUGGAUUCAGUCAAUGAGAGGCAUUCAAGUGAAAUUUGGGAGAUAGAAGAGAAGCAGAAGCCAUUAUUGUUUCUCCAAUAUCAAAGUUCCUUCAUUUUAAUACCUGAAAAUCACUAACCAUGGAUGCUACUGAGAACUAAGACUAGAUAAGAACUGAAGACGGGAAGAUGAACUACUCGUGGAUCCCUUCCUUUUGGGAAAGCCAGCCACCGUGGAUGCAAGAGCACUUGACGUUAGACCUAGGUGAAGAGAACCUGAGGGGUCCUACCAAAAGCCCGCACUAACGUGCCAUCCAUGUGAGUGAGCCACCUUGGAAGCAGAUCUGGUAGCCUUCAGAUGACUGUAGUCACAGCUGCCAUCUGACUGAACCUCAUGAGAAUCUCCAAGCUAGAACUGUCCAGCCACAGAAACUAUGAGAGAUAAUAAAAUUGUGCCACAAAGGUUUGGCACAAUUUGGUUUACAGAAAUAGAUAACUUACAUACACACUACCAUUUAAAUAUUGCUUUGCAGAAAGGAUGUCUAUUCUCUUCCCAAUUAUGAGUUUGGAUCCAGAAAAGAAAAUAGCACCUAUGCCAGGGAGCUCAAUACUUGGAAUCUAACAUGAGGAACUAGUUUAAAAUGUUUGGAAGAAUUCAGAGGGUAAAUAGGAGGAUGGUGGGACUCCCAGAGAUGAGCAACAUGAGGGAGUUGCUACCCUUAGGGCUGCAGGGACUAGAGGAAGAGACCGUGUUGCCCAGAUGUGGUAACAGAUUUUUUUUAGCAGAUUCUCCAGCCCCAGUUAAGCCUUGAGGUAACUGGAACCUGGAUGACAUCUUGACUGAAACUUCAUGAGAAACCCUGAGCCAGAACCACCUGGCUAAGCCAGGUCCGAGAUUCCUGACCCUCAGAAAUCCUGGGAGAUAAUAAAUAUUUGUUAUUUUAAACUGCUAAGCUUCAGAAUAAUAUGUUACAUAGAAAUAGAUAACUAAUAUAGAUUUUGAUACCUGGAAGUGGGACAAAAUCCUAAAAUGCAGAAAUGACUUUGGAACUGGGUUGUGGGCUUUGGGGAGAGUUAGUGAAACUCUAAAGUACCUCAACAAAACUGUUAAUAGAAGUAUCUUGAUCUUUUAUAUGGCUGCAGGUGAAGUCUUGCAAGAAAAUGAAGUAAUGUUAUUGGAAACUGAAGAAAAGGGGAUCCUUAUUAUACUGUAUAGUGGCAGAAAGUUCAACAACAUUGUUGCCUGAAGUAACUGAAUGGUAGAAAGUGUGUCUAAUGAACUGGGUGAUCUAGCUAGAGAGAUUUCCAAGCAAAGGUUUCUUCUUGUUGCUUACAGCAAAAUGUAAGAGGAGAGAGAGAAACUAAAGGAAGAACUGUUAAACAACAAGGAGACAGAAUUUGCUGGUUUUGAAAAUUCUCAGCCUCUCCAAAUGGCAAACAAUGCUAAAGUUAAGAUAUAGCUUCUGAGCAAAAAUCAAAUCCAGGGCACUACCAGUAAAACACGGUCCAAAGAAAAAGCCAAAGGUGUGGCUAUAAAAUCUUUUGUUAGUCUCAAAAAGAUUUAAGGUUGCGCAUUAGAGUACUAUUGAGUCAGACAAAAGGGCUUCUAAGGAGAUUAAAGGUAUAUCUCUUUAGGAGAUUAAAGGCAUAGUCUCUUAAUAAAAUGGUAAAGUGUCUAGGAAACUUAAGUUCAUUGUCCCUCAGCCAUCCCAUCAGAAGCCCAAGGUAGAGAAGAGCUUAUUUGAAAGAUAUUUGUAGGUGUGGCUUUGUCUAAUGGGGUAGACCCCCAUAAGAUUCAUGGAAGACUCAUAAAAUUUUUUAAAGAAUUAUGUAUGCAGAAAUAUUGUCACCUUGGACCAAAAGGGAUAAAGAUGGGACAAAAUAAAAAGAGGCCUUUAGACCCUCAAAUUUCUACUAGGAAGAAGUAGGCUGAGAAAAUUCCUCAUCUAUAAGUAUGGGCUAUCUUUCAUGAAAAAGGGAGGAUGACCUAGAAGUCAGAACCAAGACCCCAGAACAUGAUGCUGAGAGCCAGGGAGAAUUAUUCCCCAGCCUUGAGACUUAAUCAAGGAACUUUCAACAUUAGCUUAGCUGGAUUUCAGAAUUAUAAUGGACCAGUGACUCCUUUGUGCCUGCCAUCUCCCCUCCUUUUGAACAGAAAUAUCUACAGCAGUUACCCUGUUACGCCUGUCUCACCAUUGUGUGUUGGGUAUACGGAGGGGCAGAUAAACUUUACUUUCACCGGGGGAGAAGAACUGUACUCAAGGAGCUACAUUUAAGGAACUAAACCCAGGGAGCCUCAACUGCACCUGGACCUGAUUUAGAUGAUGAGAUGCCAUACUUCAAGCUGAUGCUGUAAUAAAGGUGAGACUUGUGGUGACUUUGGGAGAAAGUGAGUGUAUUUUACACGUGGGAGGGACAUGAAUCCUGGGGGACCAGAGAAUGGACUGUGGUAGCCAGCCUCCAAGAUCAGCCCUCAAUUAUCCUUGCCUCCUGGUAUUCACACCCUUGUGUAGGCCCUUCCUACACUGUGUCACAAUUGGUCUGUGCGACCAACAGCAUGUGGCAGAAGUGAUGGUAUGUAACUUCUGAGGUUAGGUUAUUAAAAAGACUGCAGCUUCCAUACCAGUAUCUCUCUGUCUCUCUGUCUCUGUCUCUAUUUCUAUCUCUUGGAUAACUCCCUGUUGGAGAAGCAAGCUGCCAUACUGUAUGCAGCUCUAGGGAGAAGGCCACCUGGCAGAAUACUAAAGCCUCUAGAAACUGUGUCCUGCCCACAACCAUGUGAGUGAACUUAGAAGUGAAUUAUUCAGCCCUACUCUAGCUAUGAGAUGACUGCAGUCCCAGCCAACAUCCUGAAAGCAACCUCAUGAGACCUUGAAUCAGAACCACCUGGCUAAGUCACUCUCAGAUUACUAAACCUUAGGAACUGUAUGACAUAAUAAAAUGUUUGUUGUUUUAAACUGUGAAGUUUUGAGGUAAUUUAUUAUGCAGUAACAGAUAACAAACACACCAGCCCAAGAGCUAGGACUGCCCAACAGAAGCUAGAACAGAAGCUAGAGAGGGGCUGUCCUUCUGCAGUAGGAGCCAUAAAGAAGAUGCAGCCACUACUGGAGACACUGCAUGAAGCACAGGGAGAAGGAAAGACCUAGCCUCUUCAUGGCCCCUCAUCUGCCACCCUUGCCUCCACUGGCCAAACCAAACCACAAGGAAAUUGUUAAGGGAGCCUGAGAAAUGUCAUGUGCAAGGAGCAACCUCUUGCAAUACAGAACAGGGCAGAGCAAGAGAAGGAAAUUAAUCUGAGAACAAAUAGGCAAACUACCAGCACAACCAAGAAUCCUUUUUCCAGGGAAUCCUCAAUAACAUUCUUCGGAACCUUGUCUCAAACUCCAGUUUGGGAAACAAUGGCCUUAACCUACUCUUCUCCAAAUGUCUGCAAGUCUAAAUCUUAUAUAUUAAUUAUCAUCCACUUCAAGUACAAAGUUUUUCUCCACUAAUCUUUUGUUCCUCAUUACCCUGGGUAGCCCCAUCUUCUUUCAGUUCCACAGCAUUUGAUCUACACCCAUUUUAGGCAUUUUUAAACACAAUUUAUAGUUAUUUAGUGCAUGUCUUAUUGUCUGAGAAUUAAUAAGUUUCUUGAGGGUCAGCUCUAUUUCUGAUGUACUGUUGCAUAUUGCCCCAUAGUCACAGCGCCUAGUACAGAACCUUGCUCAGAGUAAAUAUCAAUAGGUAUUAAGUGAAUGAGUAUUAAAGCCAGUGAUAGAAAUGGUAUAAAACGCUGUUAACUUUGUCUAUAUUACUAUUAAAUGCUUUAUAUACUCCUGCUGGAAUCAAGAGAUUCUAGGAUAAUCUUUCUAUUUUCUUGGCUGGUCACAUCUUUUGAACUCCUUUGAACCUUCUCUAGGGGGAAGAGAACAAUAAAAUUGCAAACCGGUUUGUAUCUGGGCAGGAAUAAUUAUCCUGUGAGACCAAAGUCCUGCCUGGAACUUUUUAGAAGGAGGAGUAGGUUCAGAGAACUGCACUUGUCUCCUCUCUCAACUUUGACUACUCUGAGAAAAGUCAUCUGCUCAGUAAGAAAGGAAUGCUCAGCAUUUUGCAAAAGUGAUUUCCUCUACUUCCCUAUCUUUCUUGCUGAUGCCUUGAUAGAGGGAAUAAAUAUAAAACAGAAAGGAUGUUUUUACAUAAGCUCCUCUUAAUUAGUUCAGGCUUCUUCACUUCCUGCCUGGAUUACCACAAUGCCCCCAACAAGUCUCCUGGCAUCUUGUUUCUAAAAACAAAUCUUCUAAAAACACUCUCAUGUUUAACGUUUUUCAGUGGUUACUCAUUCUCUUCUGGAUAAAAUCCAAACUCUUCAUGAUUUGGCCUUGGGAUUACUUCUUCAGCCAAAUCUUUUCUUAUCAACAUCAAGCUUUCCAGUCCUCCCCCUCUUCCUUCUGCCUCUUUCCUUUCCCCUCUCACCUGAAUCUUCUCCUAGUUCAACCCAACUCAUCCUUCAAGAUUUCGUUUCAACUGUCCCUCAAGGAAGUUUCUCUUGAGCCUCUCGGAUAGAGUAGGCUCCCUUAGCAUACUUUAUAGAUCACUUUGGCCUUGGGCAAGCUGCUCUCUAAACCUCAGUAUCCCAAUCUAGAAAAUUGCUUGUGGCAAGGAUAAUAGAUAAUUGAUGCAAAAUACUUAGCACAGUGCCUGACAUAUAUAUUAAGUGUUACAUAUUAGAUGUUAAAUCAUGGCAAUUAUUUAAUCCAAUAUCUUCAUUAUAUUUGGGAAAACAGAGAUCCAGAGCAGUCAAACGAUGGGCUCAAGUAGAAUAAAGAUAGAGAGAGGGAGACAUCUGAUUCGCUUAUGAAGAUUUACAAACCAAAUUUCAAAGUGAGGAAAUUAGGAGGGAUUGACUUCAAAUCUAAUAUUAAAAUAAAACAUUUAUCAAGAAAUAAACUUGGGGUUGAGAGUAGAUGCUACACUACUAAGAAAAAUGGCAAGUCAGGGCAACUUUCAAGACAAUUCAGGAUAUUUGACACAACUGAAAUGUUUUCUUAACUGUCUCAACUUGCUAAUUUACUUUUUCUGUUUAUUUCUAUAUUCAACGAAGUAGUGUCUGUGCAUUCACUAAAUAAAAUGGUUUGUAACUCCUUGACAUUUUUUUUUUUUAUUGAAUUAAGUACAACGUUAAACCAUUAACAUGACCUUUAGAAAAUCAAUAUUGUCCCCGGGCUCAAGACCACUUACUCUACAGCUUAAUUGGUCCUUAGCUUUCAGCUUCUGACUCUAGACUUGUAUUAUCCAAUACAGUAGCCACUAGCCUCAUGUGGCUGUUGGGCACUUGAAAUAUGGCUAGUCCAAAUUGAAAUGUGCUAUAUAAGUGAAAAUACACACAGAUUUUAAAGGUUUGGUAAAAAAAAAAAAAGCAAACUAUCUCAAUAAUUUUUUACAUUGACUACAUGUGAAAUGAUAAUAUUUCUGUUAUAUUGGGAUAAAUAUAAUCUAUAAUUAACAUUAAUUUCACCCAUUUCUUUUUAUCUUUUUUACUGUGGCUACUGAAAAAAAUUUUACUUAUGUCCACUGGACAGUGCUGUUCUAGAUCCUGGGAUUUUUCAGAAUCAGGUGGGGAGCGUUAGUUCUAAGAUCAGAUACUCCCCUCUCCUGGAUUUUCUUUGUCUCAGUGAUGUAACUCUGUCACCCUUCCUGGAGGCCAAAGGCCUCCACUAUCCCAUUCAGAAUGGGGCCCUCAAAAGGCUGAAAGAGUUAAAGAAACAGUUUUAAAUGUAGAUCAUUGAGCGAAUCCACAUUUCAAAGAGUCAAAGACAAUAGGUGAUUAUCGACCCCAGGCAACAGCUAAGAUUCACCUUACCAUUCCUGAUUGGCUCUCCUGUUUACUUGGAUCAUCUCUUAAUCGUCACAACAACUCUAACAUUUAGGUGCUAUUAUUACAUACACAUUUUACAAAUGAGUAAAUGGAAGUUAGGGAGCUAGCAGGCAUGGUCUGGAGUUUUGACCCCAGGUGGUCCAACUGUCCAAGUGUCAUAUCUAGCAAGACUACAAGCUCCUUGAAUAUCCUGUACCUUGUCCCUUCAUGACCUGACACAUACGAGAUGGUCAGUAAGUAUGUGUAGUAAAAUGUAUAUACAGUAUGACUUCAACCAUGUAGGGAAAAAAAAAUAUGGAAAAGUCUGGAAGGAAAUACAUCAAAAUGUUGAAAGAUGGUUAAUUACGAGUGGUGAUGUUAUGGGCAUUUUUUGAUAAUGUACAUAUUUUGUUUUUCAAUUUUACACUUUUCUGUAUCUUCCAAACUUUUGACAAUGUGCAUAUACUGUUUUUACUUCCAUUACUCUUUAAAUCACGCAAAAUGUCCUUUUAAGAGAAUGUAGAUGGUCACUGACAUGUUCUCUGUGUGCUGAUACUGCUCUUUUCUUCUUCCCGUGAUGUUUCCAUUUCCCUCACAGUUGGUGACCCUCUCCUCCACUUCCGCUUCUCCAUUCUCUCUCUCAAUCUCUCUCUUCUGCUUUUUCAUCUCUCUCUCCCUCCCUCCCUCUCUUGCUCUGUCCUGCUCCUUUCCAUGAGCCUUUCUCAGACUUUUUCCUCUAGAUCUUCCUCCUCUCUUGUCUCCUCUCUCUCCCUUCUUUCUGAGAAGAUUGACAUUCAAAUGAAAGGUCAAUCGAAUGUGACUCUGCACUUGGUAGGUUUCUGGGAGAUUCUAUCUGCCUCUGGAGUCCUGAGAAAGGUCCUCAAGUUGGGGGCAGGGGAACGGAGGGGGAAACUUCUAAAGAGGAUGGCUACAUUUUGGAUAAAAUCAGAGGUGGGCAGGACAUUUCAGAGUGACAAAAGUAGUGGGCACAAAAGUCUGAGGAUUCUCUCAGGGAAAGAGAGAUGAGCAGAGGGGCUUUUACCUUAUUGGGUCUGGGGAUUGCUGUCUCCCCGUGCUGGCACUCAAUUAGAAAGGAUGUGGACCUUAGUUGAUUUGAGCUCCUGAAUUGAAUUAGUCCUGGUUGUAUAAUUGACUUUGAUAUGUGGCCUUUGGAUCUGAAUUGGGUUUAAUAAGAUUUAACUGCUUCAAAGGGCUUUAUAAGAAUUCAUUUUAUCCUUCAAAUCUGAUUUCAAAUGCUACCUACUUUAAGACACCUUCUCUGACUUUGGUGCGCCUCAUCCGGCGCUUCUAUUAUGCCAUAGUAGAUGCAUACCUUAUUCAAGCAAUUACUUCCAUUGUAUUUUAUCUUAUUCUGGGGAAAUGGUUCCUUUAUUGCCUCUCUUCAGGAAUCUUGAAGGACAGGCAAGUAUCUUAUUCAUCUUUGUAUCCCAGGCCUAGCACAGACCAGGAACACACUUAGUUCAGCAUGCAGGCACUCAAUAAUGAUUUUUAAAGGUUUAUCAACAGUUAACAUUUAGUAAGCACCAUGGGAAGCCCUAUACCUACACUGUUUCAUUUGGCAGACACUUUAGGAGAAAAGUACUUUUAUUAUCCCCAUUUUACAAUGAGAAAACUGAGAGUAAGAGAAAUUAGUUUGAUCUAAAGUCAAAUUUGAUCCAAGAUCAACUAGUAAGUGGCAGAACAGGCUUUUGACAUCAAGAUUUGGGAUGGAUGGGGAAUGCUUUCACUCCAGGGCUGAAGAAGUGACAUGGAAGAGUCCACCAUUUAUUUACAAAGGCAAUUAUGAUUUAAAAUCAUGGUAAGUCCUAACUCACGGUAUUUCUAACUUUUGAAUCACCUUUAUUUCUUCCUUCCUCCUUUCCUCCCUCUUUGCUUCCCUUCCUUCCUUCCUCCCUCCAUUCCAUCCUUCGUUCCCUUCUGUCUCUCUUUUUCUUUCUCUUCUAAAACUCUCAAGAAAAAUGUUUGAACUCCUACACUGAAGUGUAGUUCAGUCAAGAACUGAGUGUUUUACUGGGAAGGGGACUAACAUUUUACGUAUUUGGUUCUUACUUUUUACCAUUCAUUCAUUUGCAAAUUUACAAAUAUCAAGCACCUACUGUGUGCUAGGAACCAUUUUUAGGCACUAGAGAUACAGGGGUAAACGAAACAAUGUCCCGGUUUUCACGAAGAUUACAUUCUAGUGGGCACUUUACUCCGGUUCGCUUACUCCUCACGAUAACCGCAUGAGGUAAUGAUGACACAAUCAUGGAUAACUCUUAACAACGCUUAUCUGUGCCAGGCACUGGGCUACGUGCUUUAUUUGUAUUAACUCAAUUAUCACAACAACCCUAUCAGGAGGGGUUAUGUUUUCUCCAUUUUAUAGAUGAGGAAACUGAGACACAAGGAGGUAAGUGACUAGCUCAAGUGUCGAACCCAGGCAGUGUGGCUCUAACUCCCAGGCUAUUAACCACAAGGCUAUAUUGUUUCGUUUAUGUUUCUUUAAUCACACCUUUUAAGUGGCUGAGUCCUAUCUCAGAUGAUCCCAAACCCAGGGGUUUGCGCUGUACCCCAGCGGCCUCGUGGAAUAAAAUGAGAUUGCCCUGGAAUUUUGGCAACACUCUCUCUUCCAAAGAAUUCAAGCUGAUUUCCACCUAAUUCUCAGAUUUGUGAUGUGAACUUUGUACUAUAAAUUUCCCGGCAAGGAGCAAGUUAGGGCCAAGGCCCCGGAUCAUCUUACUCGGGCCGGGGCACCCAGCAGAUGGCGCUAUCUUAGUAGCCACCAGCUGGCUGCCCCGUCUCCGGGGCUCACCGUGUCUGCCGAAAGCUUCCCGGCCCUCCCUCACUCCCUUCUCUCUCCCCCUCCCCACGGAGCCCAGGCCCACGUGACCUCAAGGCGGCCAAUGGGCAAGCAGAGAGGGCGAGCUGGUCCCUGUGGCCGCCAUUAAAGCGAAGGGAAAACCCGUGAAUUCGGAUUAAAGGGGGAAAAACACCGCCCGCUGGGCCCACAAAAUGGGGGAGACUACGGCGUCCGGGCGGUGAGGCCGCAGGAGAGCAGACGUUAGGCCGGCUUGGCCCAGGGACAACACGAAGACACAGCCGGAGAAUGGUCUGAGCCCGCAGACGCCGCCACCACCUCCGCCACUGAGGAGACUCUGGGCAUAAGGACAUCGCCGCUGCCGGGCCGGGGGCCUGGGCUUCUCUCCGGCUUCUCGCCCUUCCCGCCCCUUGCGGGCGCCUCCCGCCCCGGGAGAAGCCUCCAGGGCUUGGGCUCUGCCCUUUCGGACUCGAUUUUAAUUAUUUAUUGUGUAAUUUAUUAUUUUACUUGUGGCAGGGGCACCCAUCUCCUCCGUCCCCCAGAGAGGGACGAGCGUCCGCGGGCUCCGCGGCGGCCGCAGUCCGGCCCACGGGGCGAGCGCGGCGCGGCCCUCCCGCCUCCGGCCCUCGGCCCCGGGCGGCGGGGUGCCGGCCGGGCGGCGGGG